AGGAAAGAAGCUAAACCUACAGCAAUUAGUUGUUACCUAAUAGAAAGUGAGAAUUUUCACCUUUCCUA
RNAcentral lists this transfer RNA (68 nucleotides) under Lasmigona complanata. Its description in RNAcentral is "tRNA-Asn". The record is from RNAcentral. Lineage: Eukaryota; Metazoa; Mollusca; Bivalvia; Unionida; Unionidae.